GACGAACGCUGGCGGCGUGCUUAACACAUGCAAGUCGAACGGAAAGGCCCUGCUUUUGUGGGGUGCGCGAGUGGCGAACGGGUGAGUAACACGUGAGUAACCUGCCCUCGACUUUGGGAUAACUUCAGGAAACUGGGGCUAAUACCGGAUAGGAGCUCCUGCUGCAUGGGGGGGGUUGGAAAGUGUCGGCGGUUGGGGAUGGACUAGCGGCUUAUCAGCUUGUUGGUGGGGGAGUGGCUUACCAAGGCUUUGACGGGUAGCGGGCCUGAGAGGGUGACCGGCCACAUUGGGACUGCGAUACGGCCCAGACUCCUACGGGAGGCAGCAGUGGGGAAUAUUGCACAAUGGGCGGAAGCCUGAUGCAGCAACGCCGCGUGCGGGAUGACGGCCUUCGGGUUGUAAACCGCUUUCGCCUGUGACGAAGCGUGAGUGACGGUAAUGGGUAAAGAAGCACCGGCUAACUACGUG
RNAcentral lists this ribosomal RNA (468 nucleotides) under uncultured bacterium. RNAcentral's name for it is "partial 16S ribosomal RNA". It matches the Rfam family "Bacterial small subunit ribosomal RNA", at positions 28 to 507 of the family's 1533-position model. The record is from RNAcentral.